RNAcentral lists this unclassified non-coding RNA (2203 nucleotides) under Ixodes scapularis (black-legged tick). RNAcentral's name for it is "dCN1-like protein 5, transcript variant X3". The record is from RNAcentral. Lineage: Eukaryota; Metazoa; Arthropoda; Arachnida; Ixodida; Ixodidae.
GCCGCACCACGGCGUGACUUCUUCAAUCAUGCUCGUGAUCUGCACGGCGAAAAGCAAUUGAGUGGAAUUACUUGAUUGCGUUAAUUUCAGGGAGAGCUGUCCAAAAUUUCGACUUCAUAGAUCGAUGCAGCACACGCAGAAGACACUGCGCGAGGGUACCACGCCACGCCUGCCGAGCGUCCGCCCGGGCAUUCAGCUCCAGCUGCAGCCCCCCCUGGUGUGCGAACGCGUCCUCCUCGACCCCAACAUGGGACCCCAGAGGCGGAGGAGGGCAGACGCCCACGACGAUGACACCAAGGCCAACAGCAAGCGGCUACGUACCACCCAUGUCGGGUCCCGACGCAAUCCCUUUUCAAGUGAAAGUGCCGCCCCACCUUCCUUCUCUCUGAAGCGGUGCCUAGCACUCCUACAGGAGUAUGCCUCUGUCAACGAGCCCAAGGUGAUGGGGCCCGACGGAAUGGAAAAAUUCUGCGAGGACAUUGGUGUGGAACCCGAAAAUAUUGUGAUGUUGGUGCUGGCCUGGAAGAUGGAUGCCAAGCAGAUGGGCUUCUUCACCGAGGAGGAGUGGGUACAAGGACUCUCGGACCUCCAGUGCGACUCAAUCCAGAAGAUCCAGGGCAAGCUGGACUACCUCAAAUCCCUGUUGAAUGACACCACCCACUUCAAGAGCAUCUACAGAUAUGCGUACGACUUCGCAAGGGACAAGGACCAGCGAAGCAUGGACAUGGCAACAGCCAAGGCAAUGCUUCAACUGCUGCUGGGCAAGCAUUGGCCCCUCUGUGCCUCUUUCCACCAGUUCCUCGAGCAGUCCAAAUACCGGGUGAUCAACAAGGACCAAUGGUGUAAUGUGCUGGAGUUCAGCCGGACCAUCAAGCCGGACCUUUCCAACUACGAUGAGGACGGAGCCUGGCCCGUCUUGUUGGACGAAUUCGUGGAAUGGCUGCACUCGAGGCAUCCUCACCUCCGUCGGACGCCCCAAGAACUCGAAGACGACUCCCUCCCCUCGUUCAGUGCCUGCUCCAGCUGAGGGGGGGAGUGGACAUCCCAGUGCCCUCCCCUCUCCCCCCCCCCCCCCCCCCCCUCACCCCUCCCCAAAACUAGGACUACUCCUUUAAUUUGCAUCCCCUUCCCUCAAAGUUUGGUUCUACAAUAACAACAGUAACAACCAAGUCCAUGCCAACACCAUGGCUGAAGCUGCUACCCCCCCCCCCCCCCCCUUUUUUUUUUUUUCUUUAGUGAGUCUUCAAAUUUUUUUUUCUUGCUCCGACAGUUGAGUUUUGUCUGUACUACCUCCGUGCUGGACACCGUAUUUCUUUUUUGUGUGUGCGUGUGUGUGCAUACUUUUGGUUUACAAGAACGUUGCCACUCUUUUAGUCGAAGAUGGAAAUCGCCGUGCCGUGGAAUGCAUUUAAGGGGGCCGGCCACGAUCCGCGGCUGCAGUCAUCGAAGAGGGUUGCAAGUGCGUCGCGUGACAGCUCGGGUGCAACAAUUCCUGCUGGCUUCGUCCACACUCUUCGACGUAACCGGCGGGAUGCGGCCUGUGCGGUCGAAACUGACGUCGUACCGUAGACGUGCAAACGACCACAACCUUCCUAUCCCUGCAUCUCUCCUUCCCAUUCCCUUUUGUAGUUCUCGAUCCAACUUUCAAACUCCCCUCUCCCCUGCGAAAGCGAGCAUUGCGGCUGGCAAAGCAACAAUGCCAGGCCUGCCUUCUUUCUUUUUUCUGGAUGUGCGUGUGUCUGUGAAAGCGCUUUUGUACCGACUGGAAGAGAGAACGGAAACGGCACGCAUUGUACAAAUGUCUCGGAUGAGAGCGAUAUCCCAGAGCGGUUGUCGCGAACGAUUGUUAGGCCCGGUUUUUGAGAGCGGGCUCGUUUUGGAAGAAAGAAGGUGCAGACGAGAGGCAAACGGGUACGCGGGGUUCCGCUUGGAGACGAAGAGGGCACCGGGUACCCGCCACGGUAACGCGCAAGGAAGGUCGAAUUACAUUCCGCUAACGAAAAGAAACCAGCUCUCAACGACAACAAUAUUUGCCUCCCGUUUGGAAUUCACCGAGUCAACGUAGCGGCGCUUCGGUUGGAAGAGAAAGGAGUGGUGGUGCCAGAAGAUGUGGCACGCAGUUUUUCGAAAUGAAAACAAAAAAAGAAAUGAAAGCUGUAUUCGUAUUGAAAGUUUUAAGAGGAAAUAAAAGACAUCAAAUGAG